AGUGUGUGUGCAAUGGUAGAGAAAUUACAUACAGUACAUUGAUUGUAUUUUUAUCAAAAUCUGCUAUCUAAAAGAGCAUUAGUGUUGAAUAAGCUUUAGUUUAAACUUUUCUCGAUAGAUUAAACUCAUCAUUCAACAACAACAUUAGAUGAUCAAUAUUGUAACACUAGAUUGAUCAAAAUGUUAGAUUUCUGAAUACACCAGUUGAAUUUGAUCAGUAAGAAUGAGCACCAUCACAACGAGCAUAUAAUUUUAACCCCUCACACAAUCUAAUCUGCAGUGGGUGUGUGAGAUUUGUGCAUUCUUGAAGGUGUGGUUAAAUUAUCAGCUUAUAUAAAGCCAUUCUUUUAACAAGGAGGAAGAAGAACUGAAGAAAACUGGUGUGAACAUCAAAGGUACAUGUGUUUUCAAAAUACAUUAUUGUAAUGUCAAACAACAAUUUGUGUUUUUAUGCAAUGCUCCUGUAUUAGUGAAUUUCAUAAAUGUAUUUUAUUUCCUCGAGGGAUCCAAAGGCAGUUAGUACCUCACAAACAACUAAGAAAAUCUACCUCAUGAUGACAUCAAAAAAUCUUGUCAUUAAAGUUCUCUCCUGGAACAUUAAUGGUCUGAAAGCAAAAUAUAAUGAUGAGGGGAAAGCAAGAGUACUAUCUAAAACAUUUGCCAAAUAUGACAUUGUGCUUCUGCAAGAGACUCACAUGGGUCCAAAGAAUGAUGUGAAAGGCAAUGAAGCAAUGGAGAAUGAGGAUGAGGAGGAAGAGGAGGAUGAGGAGGAAGAGGAGGAUGAGGAGGACGAUGAUGAUGAGGAGGACGAGGACGAGGACGAGGAGGAGGAUGAGGACGAGGAGGAGGAGACGGAUGAUGAGGAGGAGGAGACGGAUGAUGAGGAUGAGAAAAAGAAAAUAGUCAUUCUUAAAAAUCAGCCAGCAAUCCAGGACAAUCCAGACAUCCAGGAAAAAAUUUGGUAUAUGACAAAUUUCUGUUCAAGACGCAGAGGUGUUGCCAUCAUUAUCAAUAAAAAACACAAAUAUUUGCAAGGUUCUUGUAAGGACGGAGAUUAUGCUUGGGUUUAUGUUGAGAUUGAAGGUCAGAUGUACACAUUUAUGAGUGUUUAUUACCAUCCCACUGAAACAGCUGAUCCCAUGGACAAUCUGUCCAGUUUACUAACAGAUAGGUCAGAAGCUUUUCAAAAAAUACUUGUAAUUGGUGGAGACUUCAACACAACACUUAAUCGUAAAUGGGAUCUGAAGGGGAAAAACAAAAAUCAUAGUAAACAAAGAAAAAGACUGCAGGAGUUCAUGAGUAAAGUGAAGCUCUCAGAUGUCUGGAGAGAAAAGCAUCCACGGAUGCGUAGAUACACACACGUAUCCAAGAAAUCAGAGUCCAGAUUAGACUAUGUUUUCAUCUCAAAGAAGGAUUUGGGUUAUGUGCACAGUUGUAAAAUAGAUCAGACUAAAACUCUAAAACUAUCUGACCAUUCCCCAGUGGCCCUUACACUCAAAGUUGAUGUUGAUGUUGAAAAUUUGUCCAAAGACUUUCAAAGAUUAUAAACGUUAAGUUUAUUAUUACGUCCCAGGAUUUGUAGAAGUGGGGGUGUCUUUUGUGCAUGUGCUUUGUUUGUUCUGUUUUGCUUUUUUUUUCCCUCUCUCUCUCUCUCUUUCUCUCCUUCUCUCUCAAACGUUGAUAAGGACUAACAGGUGGAGUUCAAUUAGUUGAUGAUUCUGUUGAUGACUGCACUCUUCUGAUUGGUCCGCUAGAGGAAAUAUUUGGAGUUAAAAGGCAGAGCUGAGAUGUCUGGAUUGUGGAUGCUAGGAGCAAGAAUCCUUUCUGCUGGUUGUGGUUUCUUUUGACUACAUUUUUUCUCCUGUUUAAGGAUGGCAAGGGAGAAGAAGUUUGGAACAACCAGGACUCUUCCUAGAGCUGGCCUCCUGGCCAAACUGAGCAACUGAUGGAGAAGGGCUUUGGUUAGUGUGGUGACCAAGAACCUGAUGGUCACUCUAGUUGAGCUCCAUGAUCAUAUGUGGAGACAGGAGAAAUCUACAGAAGGACAAACAUCAUUGCAACACUCCACCGAUCUGGGCUUUAUGGCGGUGUGGCCAAACUCAAUCCUCUCCUCAGUGAAGACACAUGAAAACACACUUGGAAUUUGCAAAAAAGCACCUAAAGGACCCUCAGACUGUGAGAAACAAGAUUCUCUGGUCUGAUGAACCUCAAUUCUAAGCAUCAUGUUUGAAGGAAACCAGGCACUGCUCAUCACCUGCAGAGUACCAUCCCAAAAGUAAAGUGUGCUGGUAUCAGUCUCAUGCUGUGGGGCUGUUUUUCAGCGGCAGGACUUGAGGGACUCGGAGUAGAGGAAAAGCUUAAUGCACCAAAAAAUUGAGAUAGCCUCAAUGAAAACCCAGUCCAGAACAUUCAGAACCUCAGACUGGGCAGAAGGUUUUACUUCCAACAGGUCAUCCUGGUUUCACACCGGUGCUCAUGUGUAGCUGGGACUGCUGUGUGCAACCACAUUGUUGCAUUGCUCUUGCAAACAGCACAUUAUUCAGAGCUUAAUGUGCAGGUUGUGUCCCCUGUCCACUCCUGCACUGAGACAAGCCCAGAACAGCUGGAGUAAAACCUGGGCCAAUAAACAAGAAGGUCAUCACCAGACCAAGACUCACCCGGCUGGAAGGAGGAAUCAGUGUGUGGAGUAGAGGUCUUCACAGGUCCAAAUAUUCUUACCCGAACACGAAGAGACCCGUAAAUGUGCUGCAUGGAACCAACCCGGACACAUAUUUCAUUUGAAACUGGGACCCCAACCCGUGCAGACCCGAGAAAUGCCUUAAAUCAGGGGUGUCAAACUCAGUUCCUGGAGGGCCGCAACCCUGCAGAGUUUAGUUCCAACCCUGCUCUGACACACAAACUAUGCAGUUUUCAAAUAAGCCUAAAUGACUUGAUUAUCUGGAUCAGGUGUGUUUAAUUAGGGUUGCAUCUAAACUUUGAAGGGCUCCGGCCCUCCAGGAAAUGAGUUUGACACCCCUGCCUUAAAUGUUCUACACGGACCCGACCAUUAUUCGAAAGUUGGACCCAAACCCAGCUGGGGAGACACAGCAAACUGCUAUUAACAAGUCAAUAAACAAGUUCGGGGAAAAAAAACUACUGUUUGUCCCUGACUGCGAUUUUUUUUUUUAUUAUUAUUAAUUUUUUUUAAAUUAAUUAAUUUUUAUUUAGUAAAUUUUUUUAUUUCACAUCACUCAUGAAGGAAUCCAUGAUCACUGUCCGCUUGCAAUACUAACAUUAACUCCGCCCACCCUCUGCUUCUGGCAGCUGAAGUCGCGCGGUUUUUUCUUUUCUUCCCCUUAUUUCCCGCUCACACUUUUCUCAUCCUAAUUUUGCAAGUUACAAAACACAUGCAAAGUGCUGAUUGACACUGAUCACUGCCUGGUUACCAGUAUUAUUCAAAAUAUUUUAUUUUGUGUCCAACUGAAGAAAGAAACUCAUGCAGGUUUGGAACAACUUCAAGGUGAGUAAAUGAUUUGGGGGGAGAGACAUU
Onychostoma macrolepis is the source of this 3529-nucleotide RNA transcript. It is a transcript of the gene named ribosome biogenesis protein BOP1 homolog, with no coding region annotated. The transcript has 5 exons. NCBI's taxonomy places the organism in Eukaryota, Metazoa, Chordata, Actinopteri, Cypriniformes, Cyprinidae. The record is from RefSeq and is a predicted model, not a curated record.